Molecule: long non-coding RNA, 551 nt
Filed under: Salmo salar (Atlantic salmon)
Lineage: Eukaryota; Metazoa; Chordata; Actinopteri; Salmoniformes; Salmonidae
Description: lncRNA (ENSSSAG00000090332.1)
Source: RNAcentral
GUAGUAGUACGUACAGACCAGGCAGUAGUAUGUGUGUAUAAUGCAUAGACUAGGCAGUAGUAUGUACAGACCAGGCAGUAGUACGUACAGACCAGGCAACAGUAUGUGUGUAUAAUGCAUAGACUAGGCAGUAGUAUGUACAGACCAGGCAGUAGUAUGUACAGACCAGGCAGUAGUAUGCAUAGACUAGGCAGUAGUAUGUACAGACCAGGCAGUAGUUCGUACAGACCAGGCAGUAGUAUGUACAGACCAGGCAGAAGUAUGUACAGACCAGGCAGUAGUAUGUACAGACCAGGCAGUAGUAUGCAUAGCCCAGGCAGUAGUAUGCAUAGACCAGGUAGUAGUAUGCAUAGACCAGGCAGUAGUACGCAUAGACCAGGCAGUAGUAUGUACAGACCAGGCAGUAGUACGUACAGACCAGGCAGUAGUAUGCAUAGACCAGGCAGAAGUAUGCAUAGACCAGGCAGAAGUAUGCAUAGACCAGGCAGUAGUAUGUACAGACCAGGCAGUAGUAUGUACAGACCAGGCAGUAGUAUGUACAGACCAGGCAG